Molecule: non-coding RNA, 1413 nt
Organism: Zootoca vivipara (common lizard)
Lineage: Eukaryota; Metazoa; Chordata; Lepidosauria; Squamata; Lacertidae
Source: RefSeq, a predicted model, not a curated record
UUUAGAAUACUUUCUCUAACCAUUAAAGACUGAAGAGGGAUAAAAGAGAAAGUUAGAUGGAGGGAGGGAAUGUGAAAAUGAAACACAAACCAAUAGACUAUUCCCAAGCUUAUAAAUGCAGUUCCAUUUAUGAAAAGCAACUCGGUAGCCAGAAAAUAAACACAUUCCCCUUGCUUCUGUAACACUUCCAAAGAGAAAUGAGGCCAAAUCCACUUUUGGAGAGUCAGCUGAACACAUCCAAUUUUCCAUACAGAACCUCAGCUACCCUGUUAUUUCUGAACUGAGCAGGAGUAGCAUUGGUAAGGGGGCAUGAUGCUAAAUGAUCAUUAGACAGCAUGUCAAUGGGUUUUUUAAAAAAAUACAAUAGCAGGCAAGCAGGCAAGCAAUUUUAUUCACACUGCAACAUUUGGGGACCCUUCAGGCAUGAUCCCAUGACCUCAACAAAAACUACAUCCUCUGGCUUUCGAAAUUCAGUUUCACUCCUAUGCCAAACUAACUUGAAGACCCAAGUUUGCAGUUUUGGUGCACUCUUUGAUUCAGGCCUGAGUCUGAAUUCCCAGUUUGCAGAGGAGGCCAAGACAAAUUUUGCUCAGCUGAGCAAGUGUGCCAACUCUACUCAUUCCUGGAAAUGUUAAAUCUGGGCACAGUGAUGCAUGCUUUAGGUACAUCUUGUUUGAAUGACAGUAGCACACUCUAUGUGGUGUGUAUGCAUAUAUUUAUGUUUAAAAUAUCUUAAAUAGGAAGGUUUAAAUCAAAUGUGCCUUAAAAUAAAAGGCACAUUUAAAGUCCUCCCUUAUUAUCUACCCAUACUUACAUUGUCCCUCACCCCACUCAUAAUUGUAUCAUGUCCAACCUUCAGUUUCAAUAUUUAAAAAUCCAACUAAUUUAUAGUUGGAAAGAAUGUUGCCUCACAUGAACAAAUGGCUUCUUUGCCCAGCUUUAUGUGGCUUUCUGGUGCCUUCCUGCUCCCUAGUAAUAGCACAUUCUUCCUCUUAUUGUAAAGGUAGCAAUGGAUAUUACCGUAAUGUAGUUUCCCUGCAGUAGAAAAAUGUUUUUGCAGAAUUUAUUAACAUUAAAGAGCUCAAAUCAUUACCUUCUAUCCCAUCUCUCUUUCUCCAGCAUGAUAACUUUCUACAGCAACAGAGCACCAGCUGGAAGAGGGAAAUGCUGCAAUGGGGCCUUUUCUGAUUAAUCCCUUAAUCUGCUGAACAUCUUCAAACACCAGGACUUCCCUUUCAAGCCCAGCUGGAGAGUGGCAUCUGUGGGGCUCUCCAUGCCACUUGACAGACUGUACAGCCAUCCAAAGUAGCAGAUGCAAGAUUGUGAUGGGGCAGCAGUGGCAGCCACCACAGCUCCACACAGAUCUCACUGGAACGUGACCCUCCUAACUGGACCAGCACAGCUCAUUCAGCC